AGCUGCGGCAGCGACACUAUGUGUUGUUGGGUAGGGGAGCGUUCUGUAAGCCUGCGAAGGUGACCUGUGAGGGUUGCUGGAGGUAUCAGAAGUGCGAAUGCUGACAUAAGUAACGAUAAAGCGGGUGAAAAGCCCGCUCGCCGGAAGACCAAGGGUUCCUGUCCAACGUUAAUCGGGGCAGGGUGAGUCGACCCCUAAGGCGAGGCCGAAAGGCGUAGUCGAUGGGAAACAGGUUAAUAUUCCUGUACUUGGUGUUACUGCGAAGGGGGGACGGAGAAGGCUAUGUUAGCCGGGCGACGGUUGUCCCGGUUUAAGCAUGUAGGCUGAUUGUCCAGGCAAAUCCGGAUAAUCAAGGCUGAGGUGUGAUGACGAGGCACUACGGUGCUGAAGUAACAAAUGCCCUGCUUCCAGGAAAAGCCUCUAAGCAUCAGGUAACAUUAAAUCGUACCCCAAACCGACACAGGUGGUCAGGUAGAGAAUACCAAGGCGCUUGAGAGAACUCGGGUGAAGGAACUAGGCAAAAUGGUGCCGUAACUUCGGGAGAAGGCACGCUGGUGUGUAGGUGAAGUCCCUGCGGAUGGAGCUGAGACCAGUCGAAGAUACCAGCUGGCUGCAACUGUUUAUUAAAAACACAGCACUGUGCAAACACGAAAGUGGACGUAUACGGUGUGACGCCUGCCCGGUGCCGGAAGGUUAAUUGAUGGGGUUAUCCGUAAGGAGAAGCUCUUGAUCGAAGCCCCGGUAAACGGCGGCCGUAACUAUAACGGUCCUAAGGUAGCGAAAUUCCUUGUCGGGUAAGUUCCGACCUGCACGAAUGGCGUAAUGAUGGCCAGGCUGUCUCCACCCGAGACUCAGUGAAAUUGAACUCGCUGUGAAGAUGCAGUGUACCCGCGGCAAGACGGAAAGACCCCGUGAACCUUUACUAUAGCUUGACACUGAACAUUGAGCCUUGAUGUGUAGGAUAGGUGGGAGGCUUUGAAGCGUGGACGCCAGUCUGCGUGGAGCCAACCUUGAAAUACCACCCUUUAAUGUUUGAUGUUCUAACGUUGGCCCCUGACCGGGGUUGCGGACAGUGUCUGGUGGGUAGUUUGACUGGGGCGGUCUCCUCCCAAAGCGUAACGGAGGAGCACGAAGGUUAGCUAAUCCUGGUCGGACAUCAGGAGGUUAGUGCAAUGGCAUAAGCUAGCUUGACUGCGAGCGUGACGGCGCGAGCAGGUGCGAAAGCAGGUCAUAGUGAUCCGGUGGUUCUGAAUGGAAGGGCCAUCGCUCAACGGAUAAAAGGUACUCCGGGGAUAACAGGCUGAUACCGCCCAAGAGUUCAUAUCGACGGCGGUGUUUGGCACCUCGAUGUCGGCUCAUCACAUCCUGGGGCUGAAGUAGGUCCCAAGGGUAUGGCUGUUCGCCAUUUAAAGUGGUACGCGAGCUGGGUUUAGAACGUCGUGAGACAGUUCGGUCCCUAUCUGCCGUGGGCGCUGGAGAAUUGAGGGGGGCUGCUCCUAGUACGAGAGGACCGGAGUGGACGCAUCACUGGUGUUCGGGUUGUCAUGCCAAUGGCACUGCCCGGUAGCUAAAUGCGGAAGAGAUAAGUGCUGAAAGCAUCUAAGCACGAAACUUGCCCCGAGAUGAGUUCU
Molecule: ribosomal RNA, 1631 nt
Filed under: Klebsiella pneumoniae
Lineage: Bacteria; Pseudomonadati; Pseudomonadota; Gammaproteobacteria; Enterobacterales; Enterobacteriaceae
Description: bacterial LSU rRNA
Rfam family: Bacterial large subunit ribosomal RNA
Source: RNAcentral